RNAcentral lists this ribosomal RNA (319 nucleotides) under uncultured bacterium. RNAcentral's name for it is "bacterial SSU rRNA". It matches the Rfam family "Bacterial small subunit ribosomal RNA", at positions 28 to 334 of the family's 1533-position model. The record is from RNAcentral.
GAUGAACGCUGGCGGCGUGCUUAACACAUGCAAGUCGCGGGGCAGCAUGGAUGUCCUUUCGGGGACAUCUGAUGGCGACCGGCGUACGGGUGAGUAACGCGUAUCCAACCUGCCCUUUACAACGGGACAGCCCGUCGAAAGGCGGAUUAAUACCGUAUGUUGUCAUGUUGAUGCAUAUUUUCAUGACCAAAGGCUUCGGCCGGUAAAGGAUGGGGAUGCGUCUGAUUAGCUUGCCGGCGGGGUAACGGCCCACCGGGGCGACGAUCAGUAGGGGUUCUGAGAGGAAGGUCCCCCACAUUGGAACUGAGACACGGUCCAA